CCGACCCAAAGAUGCUUUCGGCGUCCCGCCACCACGCCUCCCUCGUCCACCUGCUCCAACUCCACUAGUUCCUACCCAAAGCCGCCCUCGACCACCACCCAUUCGUCGCUUCCAAGCUCAUCUUCUCUCUCCGUCGCCGAUGCCUGCCCCGUUCUUCGUUUGGAACUCCCUUAUCCGUGCGUUCCCCGGUUCGGACUUCCACCCAUCCGCUUGUUCUCAAAACCUAUCGCCGAGUUUCCGUGUUGCGACUCGGUGAAAUGGUUUAUGCGCCGGCCUUAAAUGCGGGGCGUUUGCUGGAUUUCUACGUUGGCGGGCCCUCUCUUAGUGGGAUGUCCUGAAGCGCUCGGAAGGUAUUCGAUGGAAUGGGUGUUUGGGAUGUCGUUUCAUGAAGCUCCAUAAUUCAAGGAUGUCUUGCAUGGCAUUUUCAAAAAGGUGAAGGUGGCUUCGUGGCAACUCUCAUACUGGUGCCUCGGAAACUCAAAUCACAGAAUCAGCAAAAAGUUGUCGCAGACACUUCUCUCAAUCUAUCAACUUGCAAAUUCAUACUGGCCCAUGGCACAUGGCUCAUGCAAAUGUGGUAUGGGAAUGGGCCGUUUUGGAAAAUAUUCAUGGUGCAUGUAGAAACCCUGUAUAUGCUCAAGUCUAGGACCGAAAAUGGAUUAAUGUGUACCAUAUGUUGAAAAAGAUUAGGUGCAAAAUAUGCUUAUUAAUAGGUGAUCAUAUUGAUUAUAAUACCAUGAACAUACUAGGUGCAGAAUGAACCUUUUUUUUUUAGUUUUAUGCAGUGUUUAUUGGUAAGAGAGGUCAAGUAAUUACUUCAGUUAUAGGAUUUGGACCAUUUGGCACUCACAUAUUAGGGUUUAAAGAAUCUUAAACCAUGAUAUGAUUGUUUAGGGCCUAUUAAUCAGAUAGAUCAUUUCGAUCAUCAAAUUGUGAAUGAUUGCAGAGAAUUAUGCUACUGAUUGUUAUUUGAUCAUCUUGGAAAACCUUCGUUUG
Long non-coding RNA from Musa acuminata subsp. malaccensis (wild Malaysian banana), 996 nucleotides. RefSeq lists it as uncharacterized. NCBI's taxonomy places the organism in Eukaryota, Viridiplantae, Streptophyta, Magnoliopsida, Zingiberales, Musaceae. The record is from RefSeq and is a predicted model, not a curated record.